UAGCUCCUACGGGGGGCAGCAGUGGGGAAUAUUGCACAAUGGGGGAAACCCCGAUGCAGCGACGCCGCGUGAGUGAAGAAGUAUUUCGGUAUGUAAAGCUCUCUCAGCAGGGAAGAUAAUGACGGUACCUGACUAAGAAGCACCGGCUAACUACGUGCCAGCAGCCGCGGUAAUACGUAGGGUGCAAGCGUUAUCCGGAUUUACUGGGUGUAAAGGGCGAGUAGACGGCGUUGCAAGUCAGAUGUGAAAGGCUAGGGCUCAACCUUAGGAGAGCAUCUGAAACUGUAAUGCUAGAGUGCAGGAGG
Molecule: ribosomal RNA, 305 nt
Filed under: uncultured bacterium
Lineage: Bacteria
Description: bacterial SSU rRNA
Rfam family: Bacterial small subunit ribosomal RNA
Source: RNAcentral